UAGGGCAUUUUAGGACACUGUGUCUUCCGUUUUUCAUGUUGUCUCGCUGGAAGUUUACCGGGCUCUUAUUCUGUAUUCAUACCAGGCCCAUCUGCUAUUUUGGUUUGGCUCAUUUGCAAACACAAAAAGCUUAGGUCAAGCGGAGUGACUCUUCCGAUCUUAAGCACGCCAACCACCGCUGCUACAUCUUCCGUUGUCGGCUUACAUCUCCUUAAAUCCUACGUUCUACCCACUACACCUCCCACUCUCUCGCAUCUGAACGGCCUCAUCAUCAUCCGUCUAUAAAUGUUCCUUGCUUGCGAUGAAUACCCUGUUACGAAAUCUCAAAGGUCAAAUUCCGUCUAUAUAUAUAUAUAUAUAUAUAUAUAUAUAUAUAUAUAUCUCUCUCUCUCUCACGCUCAACACCAUCGCAGGUUAGUGUUUUCAAUGGGCAAAGUGUGAUUCUUAGGAAUUGUUUUAUGGGGAUGAUGAAUACUUAUAUAUCUUGGCUGUGUGUUUUAGAAGUGAUCCGAUAACUACUUGACGUUUUGGAUUCUUGGGGUUUCACUAACGAGAUUGCAGUGAGUUGUGAAGGCGAAAGAACAAGUUGUAGAAGGGAAGAUGCGUCAUCUUCCGUGAAGAAGAAGCUAUACGUAGCAAAAGUGUGGGUGCGGAACUUCAAAAAGUUCAAGAGUUCAAUCAUGCCGGUAAUGAUGCCCCCAACAUUUCUCCUUCCUAUCUUGGCUGCAAAAAACAUAUGAGCAUGGAUCCGUAUGGAGGGGAGUUCCAAGGGUUUGGAAAACCAUGUACCAAAAGCAACAAGUGGAUCAGGAUUCAAACUGAUAACGGAUGGUGUUAUAUUCCAAGGUAAAAAUUCUCCAAGAAGCUAUAGCAAGGGGUAUCUUCCUUCUCAUGCAUCGCAUGUGAUGAUUCCAACGCUGUCGGCGUCGUCAGGUUUCUGCUGAUCAAAGAGAGAGAUUGGCUUGCUCAGUCUAAAGAUUUAAUCAGAGAGAGUAGAAAAACCAUGAUGGAGACGGAAGAUCUUGGUGUCUCAGCUCUUCAGGAUCUUAGCCGGCACCGACAAACUUUCCUUCACUCGCAUAGCAAGGUUUGCUUGAUGGUGUGGAUGAGGACGAGCUUUCAAGGCUAUCUCUUUCCUCCUUUGUCGUUCUUGUCAAAAACAGUUGUGGAGUAGGCCUAUUGUGGAGAGAAAGCAUCAACAAUAGCAGAUGCAGACACAAUAGUGAAUGGCUCCACAACAUCAGAAGCAUAAGCAGCAUUAGUGGUUGCUAAAAGAGGUGAGUCUGGUGGUCAACAAGGCUCUGUUAUACAUCUUCUCGCCAACCAUAUUCUUGUCAAGUUUGAUCCUGCACAGAAGAUUUACCAUUACAACGUUGAGAUCUCUCCACAAGCCCUUCAAAGGAAAUCGCUGGGAUGAUCAAACAAAAACUCGUGGAGACUGAGCAUAGUAGUUUAUCUGGUGCUGUCCCUGCUUUUGAUGGUAGGAAAAACAUUUACAGCCCUGUGGAGUUUCAAGAAGAUAGGCUUGAGUUUUUGGCUAACCUCCCUAUCUCAUCCUGCAAUACUUAGAUCAAGUUUGGUGACCUGCGUUAGAAGCUACCUCGGAAGAAGAUUGAUAAACUGUUUAGGGAUAACAUGAGGCUUGUGUCCAAGUUUGAUUGGAAGGAGCAGAGAGAGGAAGUCGAUGGGAAGGAGCAGAGAAAGCAAGUCGAAAUCUGGGCUUCACUUCCUAGAGAAUGCAUUCAUGCUCUUGAGGGAGAAUUCAAUAGAGAAGUGUACAUCGCUUGGAACAUCUUCAUUAUUAAGUACUGUAUAAAUUGGACACCUCAUUAUCAUUUUUUAAGAAAAUUAUAAAUCAUCUCUAAGUGUCCGAUUGGUAAUGGCUGUAACUUUAAAAUUUUUGCUGUAGAAAAAAAUCUGUAAACUUUUUGCGGUGGCUUUAAA
This is a long non-coding RNA of Brassica napus (rape), 1944 nucleotides long. RefSeq lists it as uncharacterized. The record is from RefSeq and is a predicted model, not a curated record. The transcript is spliced from 6 exons. Lineage: Eukaryota; Viridiplantae; Streptophyta; Magnoliopsida; Brassicales; Brassicaceae.